Salvia splendens (bonfire salvia) is the source of this 734-nucleotide long non-coding RNA. RefSeq lists it as uncharacterized. NCBI's taxonomy places the organism in Eukaryota, Viridiplantae, Streptophyta, Magnoliopsida, Lamiales, Lamiaceae. The record is from RefSeq and is a predicted model, not a curated record. The transcript has 4 exons.
AGGGCUGUAGGCAAUCUAAAAUUGCACAAUAAUUGUGUAAGCAGAUGACCUCAAGUCAGAUGUUUCUGUCCAUGACCGAAGAGUUUGAUAUGGGUGAUGUUCUCAUCGGUGGUAAACAGAGUAGUGGUAUGUCACACCACAUUUUUCACCACUUUUUAUAGAUUUGAUAAAAAAAAUUUGAGGUACCUGUUGUAUGCAUUUUGUAGACUAUUGCACCUAAGGAUGUUCAUCGUUUCCGGAUUCUGGGACUUCUCUUAUAGCCGGCCCAACGAUAUUUGCUAUGCUUUAGUAAUCAGACUAGUAUGGUGUUUGGCUAAGCCUAUUUAAAGAUGUUAGUAGAUUUAUGUUAAUGGAUCAUAUGUUGUAGACUGAGAUAGCCAUGAUCAACCAUGCCAUAGAAGUAUCUGGAGUGGUAAAUCAAGAAUGCAAGUUUGUGGUUUAAAAAUAUGGCUCAUCUAUUAUGGAUAUUGUCUUGAAAGAGUUGCAACCAGAUAAUAUAUGUGGCCAACUCGGCGUGUGCGCAGCCCAUGGAGCAAGAUGCACAAGCUUUGCUCAAUGAUAAUUGGAAGGACUGGAGAGAGAAGGUAGAGAUUUUAUCAGUUGAAGAAGCUGCAUAAUGUCCUUCUAAUCUCGAUUUAUUGUUUCUGAAGCUGUAAUUUACUUAUUGUGGGGGCGAGGGGUGUUUCACCUAAUCAUAUAUUGUAUCCGUGAAUGAUUCUGAAACUGUAAAAUAA